This 468-nucleotide ribosomal RNA is filed under the name uncultured bacterium. RNAcentral describes it as "partial 16S ribosomal RNA". It matches the Rfam family "Bacterial small subunit ribosomal RNA", at positions 28 to 507 of the family's 1533-position model. The record is from RNAcentral.
GACGAACGCUGGCGGCGUGCUUAACACAUGCAAGUCGAACGGAAAGGCACUGCUUUUGUGGUGUGCUCGAGUGGCGAACGGGUGCGUAACACGUGAGUAACCUGCCCUUGACUUUGGGAUAACUUCAGGAAACUGGGGCUAAUACCGGAUAGGAGCUCCUGCUGCAUGGUGGGGGUUGGAAAGUUUCGGCGGUUGGGGAUGGACUCGCGGCUUAUCAGCUUGUUGGUGGGGUAGUGGCUUACCAAGGCUUUGACGGGUAGCCGGCCUGAGAGGGUGACCGGCCACAUUGGGACUGAGAUACGGCCCAGACUCCUACGGGAGGCAGCAGUGGGGAAUAUUGCACAAUGGGCGGAAGCCUGAUGCAGCAACGCCGCGUGCGGGAUGACGGCCUUCGGGUUGUAAACCGCUUUCGCCUGUGACGAAGCGUGAGUGACGGUAAUGGGUAAAGAAGCACCGGCUAACUACGUG